GGGAAAUCGAGAAAUCGAGAAAUCGAGAAAUCGAGAAAUCGAGAAAUUGGGAAAUCGGAAAAUCGGGAAAUCGAGAAAGCAAAAACGCAAAAUCGAGAAAUUCAUUUCGCGUUUUCGCGUUUUUACUUUUGUGUUUUCGCGUUUUUGCUUUCUCGAUUUCUCGAUUUUCCGAUUUCCCUAUUUCUCGAUUUCCCUAUUCCUCGAUUUCCCU
This 211-nucleotide small nucleolar RNA is filed under the name Mytilus galloprovincialis (Mediterranean mussel). Lineage: Eukaryota; Metazoa; Mollusca; Bivalvia; Mytilida; Mytilidae. The record is from RNAcentral.